GGGAAUCUUCGGCAAUGGACGAAAGUCUGACCGAGCAACGCCGCGUGAGUGAAGAAGGUUUUCGGAUCGUAAAACUCUGUUGUUAGAGAAGAACAAGUGGGAGAGUAACUGUUCCCACCUUGACGGUAUCUAACCAGAAAGCCACGGCUAACUACGUGCCAGCAGCCGCGGUAAUACGUAGGUGGCAAGCGUUGUCCGGAUUUAUUGGGCGUAAAGCGAGCGCAGGCGGUUUCUUAAGUCUGAUGUGAAAGCCCUCGGCUCAACCGAGGAAGGUCAUUGGAAACUGGGAAACUUGAAUGCAGAAGAGGAGAGUGGAAUUCCAUGUGUAGCGGUGAAAUGCGUAGAUAUAUGGAGGAACACCAGUGGCGAAGGCGACUCUCUGGUCUGUAAUUGACGCUGAGGCUCGAAAGCGUGGGGAGCAAACAG
Molecule: ribosomal RNA, 426 nt
Filed under: uncultured bacterium
Lineage: Bacteria
Description: bacterial SSU rRNA
Rfam family: Bacterial small subunit ribosomal RNA
Source: RNAcentral